GAGUUUGAUCAUGGCUCAGGACGAACGCUGGCGGCGUGCUUAACACAUGCAAGUGGUGCGACGAACCAGGCUUCGGCCUGGGGCAAAGCCGCGAACGGGUGAGUAACACGUGGGUAAUCUGCCCCGAUGACCGGGACAACCCGAGGAAACUCGGGCUAAUACCGGAUGAUGAGCCUUGGCGUAAGCCUUGUCUCUAAAGGAAGCUUCGGCCUCCGCAUUGGGAGGAGCCCGCGGCCCAUUAGCUUGUUGGUGGGGUAACGGCCUACCAAGGCAACGAUGGGUAGCUGGUCUGAGAGGACGAUCAGCCACACUGGGACUGAGACACGGCCCAGACUCCUACGGGAGGCAGCAGUGGGGAAUCUUGCGCAAUGCGCGAAAGCGUGACGCAGCAACGCCGCGUGGGGGAAGACGGCCUUCGGUU
RNAcentral lists this ribosomal RNA (421 nucleotides) under uncultured bacterium. RNAcentral's name for it is "bacterial SSU rRNA". It matches the Rfam family "Bacterial small subunit ribosomal RNA", at positions 9 to 423 of the family's 1533-position model. The record is from RNAcentral.